GACGAACGCUGGCGGCGUGCUUAACACAUGCAAGUCGAACGGAAAGGCUCUUCCUUUGUGGGGUGCUCGAGUGGCGAACGGGUGAGUAACACGUGAGUAACCUGCCCUUGACUUCGGGAUAACCUCAGGAAACUGGGGCUAAUACCGGAUAGGAGCUCCUGCUGCAUGGUGGGGUGGGGAGAGUUUCGGGGGUGGGGGAUGGACUCGCCGGUUAUCAGAUUGGUGGUGGGGUAGUGGCUCACCAAGGCGUUGACGGGGCGCCGGGCUGAGAGGGUGAAACGGCCCAAUUGGGCAGAGAGACAGGCCAGACUCCUCCGGGGGGGGGCAGGGGGGGAAAUUUUACAAUGGGGGCGAGCCUGAUGCAGCGAAGCCGCGGGGGGGGUGAGGGGCUCUUGGGUGUGAACACCGUUCGCGCGGGACGAAGAGCUUGGUGGCGGUAAAUGGAUAAAAAGCACCGGCUAAAUACGUU
RNAcentral lists this ribosomal RNA (469 nucleotides) under uncultured bacterium. RNAcentral describes it as "partial 16S ribosomal RNA". It matches the Rfam family "Bacterial small subunit ribosomal RNA", at positions 28 to 507 of the family's 1533-position model. The record is from RNAcentral.